AUGCACGCUGGCGGCGUGCCUAAUACAUGCAAGUCGAGCGAACGGACGAGAAGCUUGCUUCUCUGAUGUUAGCGGCGGACGGGUGAGUAACACGUGGAUAACCUACCUAUAAGACUGGGAUAACUUCGGGAAACCGGAGCUAAUACCGGAUGAUAUUUUGAACCGCAUGGUUCAAAAGUGAAAGACGGUCUUGCUGUCACUUAUAGAUGGAUCCGCGCUGCAUUAGCUAGUUGGUAAGGUAACGGCUUACCAAGGCAACGAUGCAUAGCCGACCUGAGGGGGUGAUCGGCCACACUGGAACUGAGACACGGUCCAGACUCCUACGGGAGGCAGCAGUAGGGAAUCUUCCGCAAUGGGCGAAAGCCUGACGGAGCAACGCCGCGUGAGUGAUGAAGGUCUUCGGAUCGUAAAACUCUGUUAUUAGGGAAGAACAUAUGUGUAAGUAACUGUGCACAUCUUGACGGUACCUAAUCAGAAAGCCACGGCUAACUACGUG
RNAcentral lists this ribosomal RNA (496 nucleotides) under uncultured bacterium. Its description in RNAcentral is "partial 16S ribosomal RNA". It matches the Rfam family "Bacterial small subunit ribosomal RNA", at positions 29 to 507 of the family's 1533-position model. The record is from RNAcentral.